UACGUAGGGUGCGAGCGUUAAUCGGAAUUACUGGGCGUAAAGCGUGCGCAGGCGGUUUCGCAAGUCAGAUGUGAAAGCCCCGGGCUCAACCUGGGAAUUGCAUUUGAAACUACGAGACUAGAGUGUGUCAGAGGGGGGUAGAAUUCCACGUGUAGCAGUGAAAUGCGUAGAGAUGUGGAGGAAUACCGAUGGCGAAGGCAGCCCCCUGGGAUAACACUGACGCUCAUGCACGAAAGCGUGGGGAGCAAACAGG
Molecule: ribosomal RNA, 253 nt
Filed under: uncultured bacterium
Lineage: Bacteria
Description: partial 16S ribosomal RNA
Rfam family: Bacterial small subunit ribosomal RNA
Source: RNAcentral